GCCAUUAGUCGCUCAUAUCUGCCCGACCCGCGUCAUGAUAUCGCGUAUAUUUAGUUGUUGCAGUUAAAAGCUCGUAGUUGGAUUUCGGGUGGGUUCUACCGCGGUCCGCUUCGGUGAGUACUGCUAUGGCCGGUUCCUUUCUUACGGGGGACGGGCUCCUGGGAUUAACUUCUCGGGAUCCGGAUUCCGUGAUGAUACUUUGAGUAAAUUGGAGUGUUCAAAGCAAGCCUGCGCUCUGAACAUUUUGAGCAUGGGCGCGCAAAUUACCCAAUCCUGGGGAGGUAGUGACAAUAAAGUAACAUUGGGCACAUCGUGUCAGCGUCAAUAUCACGAUAGGACUCUGGCCUAUCUUGUUGGUCUGUAGGACCAGAGUAAUGAUUAAGAGGGACAGUCGGGGGCAUUCGUAUUUCAUUGUCAGAGGUGAAAUUCUUGGAUUUAUGAAAGACGAACUACUGCGGGGCUCUGCCCGACAUCACCUGUAUCGCAUAGAAAGCAUAG
Molecule: ribosomal RNA, 498 nt
Filed under: Sykidion marinum
Lineage: Eukaryota; Viridiplantae; Chlorophyta; Ulvophyceae; Sykidiales; Sykidiacaeae
Description: Pseudoneochloris marina partial 18S ribosomal RNA
Rfam family: Eukaryotic small subunit ribosomal RNA (bases 53-498)
Source: RNAcentral